AACUGAAACAUCUAAGUACCCCGAGGAAAAGAAAUCAACCGAGAUUCCCCCAGUAGCGGCGAGCGAACGGGGAGGAGCCCAGAGCCUGAAUCAGUGUGUGUGUUAGUGGAAGCGUCUGGAAAGGCGCGCGAUACAGGGUGACAGCCCCGUACACAAAAAUGCACAUACUGUGAGCUCGAUGAGUAGGGCGGGACACGUGGUAUCCUGUCUGAAUAUGGGGGGACCAUCCUCCAAGGCUAAAUACUCCUGACUGACCGAUAGUGAACCAGUACCGUGAGGGAAAGGCGAAAAGAACCCCGGCGAGGGGAGUGAAAAAGAACCUGAAACCGUGUACGUACAAGCAGUGGGAGCCUCUUAAUGGGGUGACUGCGUACCUUUUGUAUAAUGGGUCAGCGACUUAUAUUCUGUAGCAAGGUUAACCGAAUAGGGGAGCCGAAGGGAAACCGAGUCUUAACUGGGCGUUAAGUUGCAGGGUAUAGA
This 480-nucleotide ribosomal RNA is filed under the name Escherichia coli. RNAcentral's name for it is "partial 23S ribosomal RNA". It matches the Rfam family "Bacterial large subunit ribosomal RNA", at positions 191 to 713 of the family's 2925-position model. Lineage: Bacteria; Pseudomonadati; Pseudomonadota; Gammaproteobacteria; Enterobacterales; Enterobacteriaceae. The record is from RNAcentral.